AGUGAACGCUGGCGGUAGGCCUAACACAUGCAAGUCGAACGGCAGCACAGUAAGAGCUUGCUCUUACGGGUGGCGAGUGGCGGACGGGUGAGGAGUACAUCGGAAUCUACUUUUUCGUGGGGGAUAACGUAGGGAAACUUAUGCUAAUACCGCAUACGACCUACGGGUGAAAGCAGGGGAUCUUCGGACCUUGCGCGAUUGAAUGAGCCGAUGUCGGAUUAGCUAGUUGGCGGGGUAAAGGCCCACCAAGGCGACGAUCCGUAGCUGGUCUGAGAGGAUGAUCAGCCACACUGGAACUGAGACACGGUCCAGACUCCUACGGGAGGCAGCAGUGGGGAAUAUUGGACAAUGGGCGCAAGCCUGAUCCAGCCAUACCGCGUGGGUGAAGAAGGCCUUCGGGUUGUAAAGCCCUUUUGUUGGGAAAGAAAAGCAGCAGGUUAAUACCCCGCUGUUCUGACGGUACCCAAAGAAUAAGCACCGGCUAACUUCGUG
RNAcentral lists this ribosomal RNA (492 nucleotides) under uncultured bacterium. RNAcentral's name for it is "partial 16S ribosomal RNA". It matches the Rfam family "Bacterial small subunit ribosomal RNA", at positions 29 to 507 of the family's 1533-position model. The record is from RNAcentral.